UCCUCGGUGGCGCAAUUGGCUAGCGCGUCUGACUGUUAGUAAACUGUUAUCAGGAGGUUGAAAGUUCGAGCCUUUCCCGGGGAG
Molecule: transfer RNA, 84 nt
Filed under: Daldinia bambusicola
Lineage: Eukaryota; Fungi; Ascomycota; Sordariomycetes; Xylariales; Hypoxylaceae
Description: tRNA-Asn
Rfam family: tRNA
About the family: Transfer RNA (tRNA) molecules are approximately 80 nucleotides in length. Their secondary structure includes four short double-helical elements and three loops (D, anti-codon, and T loops). Further hydrogen bonds mediate the characteristic L-shaped molecular structure. tRNAs have two regions of fundamental functional importance: the anti-codon, which is responsible for specific mRNA codon recognition, and the 3' end, to which the tRNAs corresponding amino acid is attached (by aminoacyl-tRNA synthetases). tRNAs cope with the degeneracy of the genetic code in two manners: having more than one tRNA (with a specific anti-codon) for a particular amino acid; and 'wobble' base-pairing, i.e. permitting non-standard base-pairing at the 3rd anti-codon position.
Source: RNAcentral